This 220-nucleotide long non-coding RNA is filed under the name Junco hyemalis (dark-eyed junco). RNAcentral's name for it is "lncRNA (ENSJHYG00000014708.1)". The record is from RNAcentral. Lineage: Eukaryota; Metazoa; Chordata; Aves; Passeriformes; Passerellidae.
CUGUGCAGGGGAAUAACCUCAUUUCUUUCAUUGUUCCAUUUCCAGGACAUCGUUCUGAACAUCACCCCAUCAGUCUCUGAUGGCAAACUGCAAACCUCCCUGGCUCUUGACAGCAUCAACCCGACACGGUUUCCCCAAAGCCUUGAUGCUGCCAGUGCCUCCUCACUGGCAGAAUGGCUCAAGAAGGUCCUCACAGCUGUUUAUGUACCUUCUGUUCAAG